GACGAACGCUGGCGGCGUGCUUAACACAUGCAAGUCGAACGGGCCUUGUCCCCUUUUUUUUUGGGGGUGGGGUUAGUGGCGAACGGGUGAGUAACACGUGAGUAACCUGCCCCUCACUUCUGGAUAACCGCUUGAAAGGGUGGCUAAUACGGGGUGUUCUGGCCUGCUCGCAUGGGUGGGUUUGGAAAGAUUCGACCGGUUUGGUUGUUUUGUUGGGGGAUGGGCUCGAGGCCUAUCAGCUUGUUGGUGGGGUGAUGGCCUGCCAAGGCUUUGACGGGUAGCCGGCAUGGGGGGGUGGGGGGUCCAAAGGGGAAGGAGAAACGGCCAAGACGCCAACGGGAGGCAGCAGGGGGGAAUAUUGCACAAUGGGGGCAAGCCUAAUGCAGCAACGCGGCGGGAGGGAUGGAGGCCUUCGGGUUGUAAACCUCUUUGGCCAGUGAAGAAGGUCCUGCUUUUUGGGGGGGGUUGACGGUAGCUGGGUUAAUGAAGCGCCGGCUAACUACGUG
RNAcentral lists this ribosomal RNA (506 nucleotides) under uncultured bacterium. RNAcentral describes it as "partial 16S ribosomal RNA". It matches the Rfam family "Bacterial small subunit ribosomal RNA", at positions 28 to 507 of the family's 1533-position model. The record is from RNAcentral.